GAAAAGCUCAAAUUUAAAAUCUGGCGGUCUUUGGCCGUCCGAGUUGUAGUCUGGAGAAGCGUCUUCCGCGUUGGACCGUGUACAAGUCUCUUGGAACAGAGCGUCAUAGAGGGUGAGAAUCCCGUCUUUGACACGGACUACCAAUGCUUUGUGAUGCGCUCUCAAAGAGUCGCGUUGUUUGGGAAUGCAGCGCAAAAUGGGAGGUGAAUUCCUUCUAAAGCUAAAUAUUGGCGAGAGACCGAU
Molecule: ribosomal RNA, 243 nt
Filed under: uncultured eukaryote
Lineage: Eukaryota
Description: partial Eukaryotic large subunit ribosomal RNA
Rfam family: Eukaryotic large subunit ribosomal RNA
Source: RNAcentral